GGUGGCCUACGGGACGCAGCAGUGAGGAAUAUUGGUCAAUGGUCGGGAGACUGAACCAGCCACGCCGCGUGAGGGAUGAAGGUACAGAGUAUCGUAAACCUCUUUUGUCAGGGAACAAAGGCGGGGACGCGUCCCCGGAUGAGUGUACCUGAAGAAAAAGCAUCGGCUAACUCCGUGCCAGCAGCCGCGGUAAUACGGAGGAUGCGAGCGUUAUCCGGAUUUAUUGGGUUUAAAGGGUGCGGAGGCGGUCUGUUAAGUCAGCGGUCAAAGCCCGGGGCUCAACCCGGCCCGCCGUUGAAACUGGG
This 305-nucleotide ribosomal RNA is filed under the name uncultured bacterium. RNAcentral's name for it is "bacterial SSU rRNA". It matches the Rfam family "Bacterial small subunit ribosomal RNA", at positions 333 to 637 of the family's 1533-position model. The record is from RNAcentral.